RNAcentral lists this ribosomal RNA (1006 nucleotides) under Klebsiella pneumoniae. RNAcentral describes it as "bacterial SSU rRNA". It matches the Rfam family "Bacterial small subunit ribosomal RNA", at positions 1 to 998 of the family's 1533-position model. The record is from RNAcentral. Lineage: Bacteria; Pseudomonadati; Pseudomonadota; Gammaproteobacteria; Enterobacterales; Enterobacteriaceae.
AAAUUGAAGAGUUUGAUCAUGGCUCAGAUUGAACGCUGGCGGCAGGCCUAACACAUGCAAGUCGAGCGGUAGCACAGAGAGCUUGCUCUCGGGUGACGAGCGGCGGACGGGUGAGUAAUGUCUGGGAAACUGCCUGAUGGAGGGGGAUAACUACUGGAAACGGUAGCUAAUACCGCAUAACGUCGCAAGACCAAAGUGGGGGACCUUCGGGCCUCAUGCCAUCAGAUGUGCCCAGAUGGGAUUAGCUAGUAGGUGGGGUAACGGCUCACCUAGGCGACGAUCCCUAGCUGGUCUGAGAGGAUGACCAGCCACACUGGAACUGAGACACGGUCCAGACUCCUACGGGAGGCAGCAGUGGGGAAUAUUGCACAAUGGGCGCAAGCCUGAUGCAGCCAUGCCGCGUGUGUGAAGAAGGCCUUCGGGUUGUAAAGCACUUUCAGCGGGGAGGAAGGCGAUAAGGUUAAUAACCUCAUCGAUUGACGUUACCCGCAGAAGAAGCACCGGCUAACUCCGUGCCAGCAGCCGCGGUAAUACGGAGGGUGCAAGCGUUAAUCGGAAUUACUGGGCGUAAAGCGCACGCAGGCGGUCUGUCAAGUCGGAUGUGAAAUCCCCGGGCUCAACCUGGGAACUGCAUUCGAAACUGGCAGGCUAGAGUCUUGUAGAGGGGGGUAGAAUUCCAGGUGUAGCGGUGAAAUGCGUAGAGAUCUGGAGGAAUACCGGUGGCGAAGGCGGCCCCCUGGACAAAGACUGACGCUCAGGUGCGAAAGCGUGGGGAGCAAACAGGAUUAGAUACCCUGGUAGUCCACGCCGUAAACGAUGUCGAUUUGGAGGUUGUGCCCUUGAGGCGUGGCUUCCGGAGCUAACGCGUUAAAUCGACCGCCUGGGGAGUACGGCCGCAAGGUUAAAACUCAAAUGAAUUGACGGGGGCCCGCACAAGCGGUGGAGCAUGUGGUUUAAUUCGAUGCAACGCGAAGAACCUUACCUGGUCUUGACAUCCACAGAACUU